Camellia sinensis is the source of this 450-nucleotide non-coding RNA. NCBI's taxonomy places the organism in Eukaryota, Viridiplantae, Streptophyta, Magnoliopsida, Ericales, Theaceae. The record is from RefSeq and is a predicted model, not a curated record.
GCUGCAGAUCCAGAUGAUCCACUGAAGACUACUGAUCAGACCAGGCAUCUUGGCUUAAUCGUGUGUAGGGGAACUGUCGUGAUGCUUGUAUCACCUACUGAUGGAACUGAUGAGAUUGCGAAUCCUUUCAUCCAGCCAGAUGGGGCUUAAAUCUCUGGACUUAUUAUGUAGCUGCCUUCUUAACAUUUGGUUUUUUCUCAUUUAAGAUAUUCUAGAGUUUGAAUUUAGUUUCUGUUUUGUCUACUUGAAUGUCAUUGUCUAUUAAUGUGAAAUAGUAGCAAAUGCCAUAUUACAUUCUGUGAUUUCUUUGAACUGAUCAGGUGUUUUGGUGCCCCUGCGAAGUGAAUAUGAUUUAAAUAGGCGGUCUUUCUAAUUGUAAUCACUUGCAGGUUAUCCAUGGUAUGAUUAUACAACAUUUACUGAAAUUGCAAAACUGCUAGUUCCAAUCAA